Molecule: ribosomal RNA, 1061 nt
Filed under: bacterium
Lineage: Bacteria
Description: bacterial SSU rRNA
Rfam family: Bacterial small subunit ribosomal RNA
Source: RNAcentral
AGUGGCGAACGGGUGAGUAACACGUGAGUAACCUGCCCUUAACUCUGGGAUAAGCCUGGGAAACUGGGUCUAAUACCGGAUAGGAGCGUCUACCGCAUGGUGGGUGUUGGAAAGAUUUAUCGGUUUUGGAUGGACUCGCGGCCUAUCAGCUUGUUGGUGAGGUAAUGGCUCACCAAGGCGACGACGGGUAGCCGGCCUGAGAGGGUGACCGGCCACACUGGGACUGAGACACGGCCCAGACUCCUACGGGAGGCAGCAGUGGGGAAUAUUGCACAAUGGGCGCAAGCCUGAUGCAGCGACGCCGCGUGAGGGAUGACGGCCUUCGGGUUGUAAACCUCUUUCAGUAGGGAAGAAGCGAAAGUGACGGUACCUGCAGAAGAAGCACCGGCUAACUACGUGCCAGCAGCCGCGGUAAUACGUAGGGUGCGAGCGUUAUCCGGAAUUAUUGGGCGUAAAGAGCUCGUAGGCGGUUUGUCGCGUCUGUCGUGAAAGUCCGGGGCUUAACCCCGGAUCUGCGGUGGGUACGGGCAGACUAGAGUGCAGUAGGGGAGACUGGAAUUCCUGGUGUAGCGGUGGAAUGCGCAGAUAUCAGGAGGAACACCGAUGGCGAAGGCAGGUCUCUGGGCUGUAACUGACGCUGAGGAGCGAAAGCAUGGGGAGCGAACAGGAUUAGAUACCCUGGUAGUCCAUGCCGUAAACGUUGGGCACUAGGUGUGGGGACCAUUCCACGGUUUCCGCGCCGCAGCUAACGCAUUAAGUGCCCCGCCUGGGGAGUACGGCCGCAAGGCUAAAACUCAAAGGAAUUGACGGGGGCCCGCACAAGCGGCGGAGCAUGCGGAUUAAUUCGAUGCAACGCGAAGAACCUUACCAAGGCUUGACAUGUUCUCGAUCGCCGUAGAGAUACGGUUUCCCCUUUGGGGCGGGUUCACAGGUGGUGCAUGGUUGUCGUCAGCUCGUGUCGUGAGAUGUUGGGUUAAGUCCCGCAACGAGCGCAACCCUCGUUCCAUGUUGCCAGCACGUCCUGGUGGGGAAUCAUGGGAAGACUGCCGGGGUCAAUUCGG